GACGAACGCUGGCGGCGUGCCUAAUACAUGCAAGUAGAACGCUGAAGAGAGGAGCUUGCUCUUCUUGGAUGAGUUGCGAACGGGUGAGUAACGCGUAGGUAACCUGCCUGGUAGCGGGGGAUAACUAUUGGAAACGAUAGCUAAUACCGCAUAAAAUUGAUUAUUGCAUGAUAAUCCAUUGAAAGGUGCAACUGCACCACUACCAGAUGGACCUGCGUUGUAUUAGCUAGUUGGUGGGGUAACGGCUCACCAAGGCGACGAUACAUAGCCGACCUGAGAGGGUGAUCGGCCACACUGGGACUGAGACACGGCCCAGACUCCUACGGGAGGCAGCAGUAGGGAAUCUUCGGCAAUGGACGGAAGUCUGACCGAGCAACGCCGCGUGAGUGAAGAAGGUUUUCGGAUCGUAAAGCUCUGUUGUAAGAGAAGAACGAGUGUGAGAGUGGAAAGUUCACACUGUGACGGUAUCUUACCAGAAAGGGACGGCUAACUACGUGCCAGCAGCCGCGGUAAUACGUAGGUCCCGAGCGUUGUCCGGAUUUAUUGGGCGUAAAGCGAGCGCAGGCGGUUAGAUAAGUCUGAAGUUAAAGGCUGUGGCUUAACCAUAGUACGCUUUGGAAACUGUUUAACUUGAGUGCAAGAGGGGAGAGUGGAAUUCCAUGUGUAGCGGUGAAAUGCGUAGAUAUAUGGAGGAACACCGGUGGCGAAAGCGGCUCUCUGGCUUGUAACUGACGCUGAGGCUCGAAAGCGUGGGGAGCAAACAGGAUAGAUACCCUGGUAGUCCAAGGGCGAAUUCCACAGUGUAUAUCAGGCUUAUCGAUACCGUCGACCUCGAGAUAGAGGGCCCGGUACCCAGCUUUUGUUCCCUUUAGUGAAGGGGUUAAUUA
Molecule: ribosomal RNA, 887 nt
Filed under: uncultured Streptococcus sp.
Lineage: Bacteria; Bacillati; Bacillota; Bacilli; Lactobacillales; Streptococcaceae
Description: bacterial SSU rRNA
Rfam family: Bacterial small subunit ribosomal RNA
Source: RNAcentral